GGAAACCCACCAGACGUAAUGGAGUGGUAUCCAUAUCUGAAUACAUAGGAUAUGAGAAGGCAGACCCGGGGAACUGAAACAUCUAAGUACCCGGAGGAAGAGAAAGCAAAUGCGAUUCCCUGAGUAGCGGCGAGCGAAACGGGACCAGCCCAAACCAAGAGGCUUGCCUCUUGGGGUUGUAGGACACUCUGUACGGAGUUACAAAGGAACGAGGUAGAUGAAGAG
This 225-nucleotide ribosomal RNA is filed under the name Bacillus velezensis. Its description in RNAcentral is "partial 23S ribosomal RNA". It matches the Rfam family "Bacterial large subunit ribosomal RNA", at positions 122 to 340 of the family's 2925-position model. Lineage: Bacteria; Bacillati; Bacillota; Bacilli; Caryophanales; Bacillaceae. The record is from RNAcentral.